AUGACGCAGCAGUCCGACACCACCGCCGACUCGGUCGGUGAGGUGUACGACCAGUUCGCCGACGCCGGCGCCAGCACCGCGAUGGGCGGCAACAUCCACGUGGGGUACUGGGACGACGACCCCGAGGUGCCGAUCGCCGAGGCCACCGACCGGCUCACCGAUCUCGUCGCCGAGCGCCUCGCGCUCCGCCCCGACCGGCAUCUGCUGGACGUGGGCUGCGGCAUCGGCGUGCCGGCUCUCAGGAUCGCCGGAGCGCACGACGUCCGCGUCACCGGGAUCACCGUCAGCCAGCAGCAGGUCACCGAGGCGGCCGAGCGGGCGGUGGAGUCCGAUGCCGGGGGCCGGGUCUCCUUCCGGCUGGCGGACGCCAUGGACCUCCCCUUCGAGGACGUCUCCUUCGACGGCGCCUUCGCCAUCGAGUCGCUGCUGCAUCUGCCCGACCAGACACCCGCGCUCAAGGAGAUCCACCGGGUCGUCCGCCCCGGCGGCCGGCUCGUCAUCGCCGACCUGUGUCAGCGACAGCCGUUCACCGGCGCCGACAAGGAGGUGCUCGACGGGAUGCUGCUGAUGUACGAGAUCGCCGGGAUCAACACACCCUACGAGCAUCGCGCGCGACUGGCGGAGGCGGGCUGGGAACUGCUGGAGCUGACGGACAUCGGUGAGCAGGUCCGCGCCUACUACGGGCAUGCCGCCGCCGCGUUCCGGGGUCUCGCCGGGGCUCUCGACGCCGGCGCGGCGCAGCAGAUGAACGCGGCGGCCGACCUGAUGGAGGCUUCGGAGGGCAUCCGCACUCCGGUUACGUCCUGA
RNAcentral lists this unclassified non-coding RNA (807 nucleotides) under unidentified. The record is from RNAcentral.